GCCCUGGUGGCACAAUAGUUAUAGUGUUUGGCUGCUAACCAAAAGGCUGGUAGUUUGAAUCCACCCAGCGGCU
Molecule: transfer RNA, 73 nt
Filed under: Loxodonta africana (African savanna elephant)
Lineage: Eukaryota; Metazoa; Chordata; Mammalia; Proboscidea; Elephantidae
Rfam family: tRNA
About the family: Transfer RNA (tRNA) molecules are approximately 80 nucleotides in length. Their secondary structure includes four short double-helical elements and three loops (D, anti-codon, and T loops). Further hydrogen bonds mediate the characteristic L-shaped molecular structure. tRNAs have two regions of fundamental functional importance: the anti-codon, which is responsible for specific mRNA codon recognition, and the 3' end, to which the tRNAs corresponding amino acid is attached (by aminoacyl-tRNA synthetases). tRNAs cope with the degeneracy of the genetic code in two manners: having more than one tRNA (with a specific anti-codon) for a particular amino acid; and 'wobble' base-pairing, i.e. permitting non-standard base-pairing at the 3rd anti-codon position.
Source: Rfam by way of RNAcentral